GACGUAGGGCGCGAGCGUUGUCCGGAUUUAUUGGGCGUAAAGAGCUCGUAGGCGGCUUGUCGCGUCGAAUGUGAAAACUCGGGGCUCAACCCCGCGCUUGCAUUCGAUACGGGCAGGCUCGAGUUCGGUAGGGGAGAACUGGAAUUCCUGGUGUAGCGGUGAAAUGCGCAGAUAUCAGGAGGAACACCGGUGGCGAAGGCGGGUCUCUGGGCCGUUACUGACGCUGAGGAGCGAAAGCGUGGGGAGCGAACAGG
RNAcentral lists this ribosomal RNA (254 nucleotides) under uncultured bacterium. RNAcentral's name for it is "partial 16S ribosomal RNA". It matches the Rfam family "Bacterial small subunit ribosomal RNA", at positions 524 to 776 of the family's 1533-position model. The record is from RNAcentral.